CAAGCACCUCGGUAGGUGAGGCGUCUGCAUGGAUACAGGCCACUGACCCCGAACGUCGAGAGACGCCCCGGGUCAGGACAGCUCUUCCCGGACCCAAGGGUUGAGCCCAAGUGGCUUCUGGAACGUUCCGGAUACGCCGUGCAGUGCCGAAGCUCCGACGAGAGGGGUGCGAC
Molecule: non-coding RNA, 173 nt
Organism: Mycobacterium sp. MOTT36Y
Lineage: Bacteria; Bacillati; Actinomycetota; Actinomycetes; Mycobacteriales; Mycobacteriaceae
Source: Rfam